GGUCGCUUAGCUCAGUUGGUUAGAGCGUGUAAGUUGCCAACAUCGAAACAUCACUACAACAAUUGCUUACGAUUGUCCUUAGGGUGCUAAUACCAUCAAUGGUAACGCCAAGGUCGCGAGUUCGACCCUCGUAGUGAUCA
Molecule: transfer RNA, 140 nt
Filed under: Lachnellula hyalina
Lineage: Eukaryota; Fungi; Ascomycota; Leotiomycetes; Helotiales; Lachnaceae
Rfam family: tRNA
About the family: Transfer RNA (tRNA) molecules are approximately 80 nucleotides in length. Their secondary structure includes four short double-helical elements and three loops (D, anti-codon, and T loops).
Source: Rfam by way of RNAcentral